GAAAGUUGUUUAUUACUUAUUAAAUUAAAAUAUUUAUUAUCAGACGAAAAAUAAAACCUGUAAACAAUUUCUGCCUGUAUUUACUUGUUCAAGUGCCAGUGAAACAAACGAUAAAAAAGAAGAAGUAUUCAGUAGGCUUGCAAUUUUUUUAUAUAUAUUUUUAAAUGAUCUGAAUAAUUUUGUUGUUUUUAUUUAGUUGAAUGGUGAAAUUGUUUAUGCAAAAAAUUGGCUCUUUAACUUUUAUGUUUUAAGUUGUUUUUUCCUUGUUAACUAUUGUCUGUUGUUAACUACUGUCUGUUGUUAACUAUUGUCUGUUGUUAACAAAACAAGUAAAAAAAUGUAUACAUAAUGACAACAGAUUUAUCUUUAGAACUGUUUGCAAAACUUUUGCUUUGGAUACAAAAGACCAAGUGAAAAUGAUACAGUUACAGUAAAUGAAUAACAACUCUUAAGGUCAUUCCACUCAAAAGAUUGGUGGCAAUACACCAGCAUCAACUAUAAACAAAGCUUUAGAUGAGAGAAUGUUAGCGGGAGGGUAAAAAACAAAAAAUGAUCAUUCAAGACUACUUACUUGUACAAAGCUCAACCUACCGGACCCACGACGUCAAUUCAACAUUGGAAUAACGCUGUACUGACGUUGCAAUUUUAGAUUAACGUUAAUCCAAUGUUGGAUUGACGUCUUGUACCCACUGGGUACUUGUUUGGGCUUUUUUCUUUGUAAGUGCUCUGGCGACGGAAAAGCAACUAAAAAAAAAUUGUUGAUCAAUUAAUAAGAAGACCAUUUAGAGAGAGCUCCCAAUGUUGAAGAAAAUAAAAACAUUUAUAUUUGUAAAUCUCAUUAACAUGGAAUAUGCGUUUUAAAUUA
Hydra vulgaris (swiftwater hydra) is the source of this 865-nucleotide non-coding RNA. NCBI's taxonomy places the organism in Eukaryota, Metazoa, Cnidaria, Hydrozoa, Anthoathecata, Hydridae. The record is from RefSeq and is a predicted model, not a curated record.